This is a long non-coding RNA of Nicotiana attenuata, 1516 nucleotides long. RefSeq lists it as uncharacterized. Lineage: Eukaryota; Viridiplantae; Streptophyta; Magnoliopsida; Solanales; Solanaceae. The record is from RefSeq and is a predicted model, not a curated record. The transcript is spliced from 3 exons.
UCCAGAUUCAUCUCUAGACUCAUUAUGAAGCAAAAUUGCUACUUGAAAUCAGUAUUUUGUCAAAUUCUUUUGAUGCACGUAGGAUAGAGUUAAUUUGUUACAACAUUUAUUUUGUGGAGCUAGUGAAAUUGAUUUGUUAGUUUCAUGAACAUUAUAUGUCUUGUUCCUUUUCGGAUGUGAAUGGAAGCUUUUGGUUCUAAUUAAGCAAAUUGUUACUGGAAGUUAGGUUCUAAGAAGAGUUUGAAAAUGUUUUCCACUUUUUUUUUUUUUAAAGUAUGAAACUUUUACUUGCAUCAACACACACCACAAGGCCACAGCCAACAAAUGACUAAUUGAGUGGAACUUACUAUUUAGGUCACCAUUUUAAUCCUUAUCUUUUGCAGCCUUUUUAGUUUUUCUUUUACCAUCUCUUUCAAUCUAAUAUUCAUUUUCCACCUUAAAUGUGUUUGGAAGUGCGUCAUUCUAAAAAAGAAGUUUGCAAAUUUUUUGGAAACAUGCACAAUGUGUAUUUAAGAAAGUCAUGAAACGACUUUCCGAUCAACUUUACGAAAUUCUAUUUGAGAUCUAUUGCAUCCCAUUCGUGUAUACAAUAUAGUUCCAAAAAUUAGCUCUUAGGAGUUAUAUGGCAUCUGUAGGAAUACACGGUUUCAUUUCUCCAAAGCUCUUGAUGAACUCUUUUCUUUCCUAUCCCAAAUAAAUUGACUUGAUUAAUAGUUCUGCAACUAAGCUCUGGCUCAUACGGAUUUUUCCCUGCUUCGAUCCGCAGUUACGUGUUUCGUCACAAUUGGCGUAUGAUGAAAGAUUGUCAAGAGAAUCGGCUAAGAUUGUUCGGCACCGACGUGAGGCUUUUAGAGUGAUUUAUAGACCAGAAAGUGGACUUGGAAACGAGGAGUAUUGGGAAAUGAGCCACAAAGAUGAAAUCCAACUUAGAAAAGGAGUGAUCUGAACUGAAGGACAAAGAUCAGGCACAAAGGCCCAAACGGACAGCAAAUUUCCAUCUGCGAACACAGAAUGUGAAAGAAAUCCAUCAGAGUCUUAAUGUAAUGUGUGGCCGCAGAAGCUAACCAAGAGCAGAAGUUCAGAGGGUUAACAUCUCAGGCCUAAAGGAAAUGCGGACCGCACAAUUAUUGUGCGGCUGCAGAAGUCAGUCACGCAGCCGCACUCAGAAUUGUGCGGUCCGCAGAAGGGCCCUGUGCGGCCGCACCAGGAUUUGUCCGAAUCGCAAAACAUAAGAGAUGCGGCCGCAUUUCAGAAUUAUGCAGCCGCAGAUCCAGCUCCUAUCAAUAUUGAAGAAAAAGUGCGGACCGCACAUGGUAUUGUGCGGCCGCAAAACCUGCGAAAGGGCAAUUUUGUCCGAAAUUUCCAGCUUUUUAUAAAUAGACUAGUUUCACGAAAUUAGGUCAAGUUUUGAAUAUUGAAACUCCUGUAGCCGUUUUUCCUUAUUGGAAACUUUAGCUUACUUUGGUGAUUCAACAUUGGAGUGUUGUCUUUUAAUCUUUCAAUAUGAGUUUUAUCA